GGCUACACAUGCAGUCGAACGGUAACAGGAAGCAGCUUGCUGCUUCGCUGACGAGUGGCGGACGGGUGAGUAAUGUCUGGGAAACUGCCUGAUGGAGGGGGAUAACUACUGGAAACGGUAGCUAAUACCGCAUAACGUCGCAAGACCAAAGAGGGGGACCUUCGGGCCUCUUGCCAUCGGAUGUGCCCAGAUGGGAUUAGCUAGUAGGUGGGGUAACGGCUCACCUAGGCGACGAUCCCUAGCUGGUCUGAGAGGAUGACCAGCCACACUGGAACUGAGACACGGUCCAGACUCCUACGGGAGGCAGCAGUGGGGAAUAUUGCACAAUGGGCGCAAGCCUGAUGCAGCCAUGCCGCGUGUAUGAAGAAGGCCUUCGGGUUGUAAAGUACUUUCAGCGGGGAGGAAGGCGAUAAGGUUAAUAACCUUGUCGAUUGACGUUACCCGCAGAAGAAGCACCGGCUAACUCCGUGCCAGCAGCCGCGGUAAUACGGAGGGUGCAAGCGUUAAUCGGAAAUUA
Molecule: ribosomal RNA, 517 nt
Filed under: uncultured bacterium
Lineage: Bacteria
Description: bacterial SSU rRNA
Rfam family: Bacterial small subunit ribosomal RNA
Source: RNAcentral